This 794-nucleotide ribosomal RNA is filed under the name Gramella sp. TBL_49. Its description in RNAcentral is "bacterial SSU rRNA". It matches the Rfam family "Bacterial small subunit ribosomal RNA", at positions 112 to 903 of the family's 1533-position model. The record is from RNAcentral. Lineage: Bacteria; Pseudomonadati; Bacteroidota; Flavobacteriia; Flavobacteriales; Flavobacteriaceae.
AACGCGUAUACAAUCUGCCUUUAAGCGGGGAAUAGCCCAUGGAAACGUGGAUUAAUACCCCAUAGUAUGUAGACUUCACCUGGAGACUACAUUAAACAUUUAUGGCUUAAAGAUGAGUAUGCGUCCUAUUAGUUAGUUGGUAAGGUAACGGCUUACCAAGACGGCGAUAGGUAGGGGUCCUGAGAGGGAGAUCCCCCACACUGGUACUGAGACACGGACCAGACUCCUACGGGAGGCAGCAGUGAGGAAUAUUGGACAAUGGAGGCAACUCUGAUCCAGCCAUGCCGCGUGCAGGAAGACGGCCCUAUGGGUUGUAAACUGCUUUUAUACGGGAAGAACCACAUCUACGUGUAGAUGCUUGACGGUACCGUAUGAAUAAGGACCGGCUAACUCCGUGCCAGCAGCCGCGGUAAUACGGAGGGUCCAAGCGUUAUCCGGAAUCAUUGGGUUUAAAGGGUCCGUAGGCGGGAUAAUAAGUCAGUGGUGAAAGUCUGCAGCUCAACUGUAGAAUUGCCAUUGAUACUGUUGUUCUUGAAUUAUUAUGAAGUGGUUGGAAUGAGUAGUGUAGCGGUGAAAUGCAUAGAUAUUACUCAGAACACCUAUUGCGAAGGCAGAUCACUAAUAAUAUAUUGACGCUGAGGGACGAAAGCGUAGGUAGCGAACAGGAUUAGAUACCCUGGUAGUCUACGCCGUAUACGAUGGUUACUAGCUGUUCGGCUCGAUUGAGAGCUGAGUGGUUAAGCGAAAGUGAUAAGUAACCCACCUGGGGAGUACGUUCGCAAGAAUGAAACUCA